This 502-nucleotide ribosomal RNA is filed under the name uncultured bacterium. Its description in RNAcentral is "partial 16S ribosomal RNA". It matches the Rfam family "Bacterial small subunit ribosomal RNA", at positions 29 to 523 of the family's 1533-position model. The record is from RNAcentral.
AUUGAACGCUGGCGGCAUGCCUUACACAUGCAAGUCGAACGGCAGCACGGGUGCUUGCACCUGGUGGCGAGUGGCGAACGGGUGAGUAAUACAUCGGAACGUACCUUAUCGUGGGGGACAACGCAGCGAAAGCUGUGCUAAUACCGCAUACGCCCUGAGGGGGAAAGCGGGGGAUCGAAAGACCUCGCGCGAUUAGAGCGGCCGAUGCCUGAUUAGCUUGUUGGUGGGGUAAAAGCCCACCAAGGCGACGAUCAGUAGCUGGUCUGAGAGGACGAUCAGCCACACUGGGACUGAGACACGGCCCAGACUCCUACGGGAGGCAGCAGUGGGGAAUUUUGGACAAUGGGGGCAACCCUGAUCCAGCAAUGCCGCGUGAGUGAAGAAGGCCUUCGGGUUGUAAAGCUCUUUCGGCAGGAACGAAGCGGUGGGCGCUAACAUCGCCUGCUAAUGACGGUACCUGAAGAAGAAGCACCGGUUAACUACGUGCCAGCCGCCGCCGUAA